RNAcentral lists this ribosomal RNA (253 nucleotides) under uncultured bacterium. RNAcentral describes it as "partial 16S ribosomal RNA". It matches the Rfam family "Bacterial small subunit ribosomal RNA", at positions 524 to 776 of the family's 1533-position model. The record is from RNAcentral.
UACGGAGGGGGCGAGUGUUGUUCGGAUUUAUUGGGUUUAAAGGGUGCGUAGGCGGAUCUUUAAGUCAGUGGUGAAAGCCUGCAGCUCAACUGUAGAAUAGCCAUUGAAGCUGAAGAUCUUGAAUUUGGUUAAAGUAGGCGGAAUGUAUCAUGUAGCGGUGAAAUGCUUAGAUAUGAUACAGAACACCGAUAGCGAAGGCAGCUUGCUGAACCAAUAUUGACGCUGAGGCACGAAAGCGUGGGGAGCGAACAGG